RNAcentral lists this ribosomal RNA (432 nucleotides) under uncultured bacterium. RNAcentral's name for it is "bacterial SSU rRNA". It matches the Rfam family "Bacterial small subunit ribosomal RNA", at positions 96 to 524 of the family's 1533-position model. The record is from RNAcentral.
UGGCGGACGGGUGAGUAAUGCCUAGGAAAUUGCCCUGAUGUGGGGGAUAACCAUUGGAAACGAUGGCUAAUACCGCAUGAUGCCUACGGGCCAAAGAGGGGGACCUUCGGGCCUCUCGCGUCAGGAUAUGCCUAGGUGGGAUUAGCUAGUUGGUGAGGUAAUGGCUCACCAAGGCAACGAUCCCUAGCUGGUCUGAGAGGAUGAUCAGCCACACUGGAACUGAGACACGGUCCAGACUCCUACGGGAGGCAGCAGUGGGGAAUAUUGCACAAUGGGCGCAAGCCUGAUGCAGCCAUGCCGCGUGUGUGAAGAAGGCCUUCGGGUUGUAAAGCACUUUCAGUCGUGAGGAAGACGGCGUCGUUAAUAGCGGCGUUGUUUGACGUUAGCGACAGAAGAAGCACCGGCUAACUCCGUGCCAGCAGCCGCGGUAAU